Molecule: long non-coding RNA, 2524 nt
Organism: Acinonyx jubatus (cheetah)
Lineage: Eukaryota; Metazoa; Chordata; Mammalia; Carnivora; Felidae
Exons: 2
Source: RefSeq, a predicted model, not a curated record
AAUGGGGGAUGGGCACUAAGGAGGGCACUUGUUGGGAUGAGCACUGGGUGUCAUAAGUAAGAGACGAAUCACUGGGUUCUACUCCUGAAGUCAAAGCUGCACUGUAUGUUAACUAACUUGAAUUUAAGUAAGUAAAUAAAUAAAUAAACAAACAAAUAAAAUGGAGUCUCCUCAGUUUCCCUAUCUCAGUAUUAUCUACUUCAGCCUUCUCACUUAAAGAGGAGGAAAAGGAGCCAAGAGGAGAAACUGACUUGGCAAAGAUCACACAAUUAGUGGAUGGCCGAGCCAAAGCUUGAAGCCAGGUGUUCUGACUUUGAAUUGAGGGAAUUUCGAUACAGGGAAUUAAGCUGGAUUAAUUUUAAAUGUAGAAUAACUAGAACUUCUGGCUACAAAAAUGAAUUAAAGAUAAUAUGAGAUAGCAUUGAUCCCACAAAGAAAGCAGGUCUUCAAAAAGGCUUCUUUUCCUAAGGAGGAGAGGAAAAUAAAUACAAUCUAAAACCAGGCGAGGGUAGGAGGGUAUGAAUCAGGCAGUUUCUUUGGAAGUCAGCUCAUGAAUACCUUACUUAUCUAGAGGUCCUUCAUUUGGCAAAUGUGACCAUUGGGAACAAACCUGUGAUCUACAAGGAAAAAUACGAAAUACCUUAUACAAAUCACCAAAGGCUUCCAGAUGGUAAUAUAACUCCGCAAAAGAAGUUUUGUUUUGUUUUGUUUUUCUUUUUCUCCUCUGAGUGAACAGCUAUGUAUUAAGGUUCGAUGAGGGGCAACUAAUGGAGAAGCAGACACAGGAGUCAGACAGCUGGGGAUCCAAAUCGGCUUCAUUACUGGAAGACCUGAGUGGGAGAAGAUGGUUUGGAUCUCAGCCAGAUGUACUUCCCAAUACAUCCUCCUCGAACUGAAUUUGCGAAGCUGGACCCUGACACAGCCAGGCAUCUCCGGGUCUCCCUUGUGGGGACGGGCUUGCUGAGAGCGAGUCUGGAGGACGGGCCACUCCCAAAGAGGGAACACCCAGAGCCUGUUCUGCAUGUCUUAUCAAGCAGUUAAACCACUUUGUGCUUGGGGAAGAGGUUGGGGGGUGAGGGGGGAACAAACGGUCUAUCCUUCCGGGGAGGAGAAUUUCCCUCCCUUCAGUGGAAAGAAAGGGGAGAAGAAUUGAAGAAGCUUCCUUGCCAGCACCAUCCAAGAUGAUAACAAGGUUUGUUUCAAUAUUCUAGUGAAAGAGAAAACUGGAAAACUUCACUUAACUAAUUGACGAAAUAUACAAAUGGGUAGAUUUUAUCAAGUCAGUAAACCUAGAAAAUGCGUUUCAAUAUAAGCCAUAUAGGAAGGUGUGCGAGAGCAAAACAUAGUAGGUACUUGUACUGGAAAACCUACUUUCAUGCUUAUAUUCUACUUACUUUUUGACUCGCUUCCUAGAAUUACCUUCCAUCCAUAAUCCCCGGUUUACUGUGGAACUAGUUUUACACCGUCAUGCUGCUCUCUGAUCACAGUGGAGUCAGUGAGGACACAUCGAAUGCCACCUUGGGAACAUUUCUCUCUUCUGAGAUAUUCUAGGAGCUGGGACCUAGUAAGAGCCUGAGGUCGGACCUGCAACACGUAAAACUCGGCAGCUACUGUUUUUCGGCUGCGUGGCCUGGGGAGAUGGUCCGGGCUCAAAGGAAGAGUGAGACUAACGUGUGGAUGGAAACAGAAGAAGGGAAAAUUGGAAGACAGAGCGAGCAGAGGAGGGGCAGAGAGACAGGGAGACAGAGGAUCCGAAGCAGGCUCUGUGCUGUCAGCGGGCGAUGCGGGGCUCAAACUCACCAACCUCGAGAUCAUGAUCCCAGCCAAAGUCCGACGCUUAACUGACUGAGACACGCAGGUGCCCCCAACUUGAGUUUAUUCUUGAUGCUUAUUUGCACUCCUGAUCUUGAGUCCCAUCAGGGACCCCAACUUCUUUCAACGAUUUCCCUUCUUGCUUGAGCUAGCUAGGGCAGGUUUCUGUUAUUUAUAAUUAAAGGAAUGUGUAUGGACACGUGCUCAGAAAAGCCAAGGAAGCUAUAAUAGUGGAAAAGUGGUUAUUGUAUUAAACUACAGGAUUACAGGACCUUGUGAUUCAAGACAAUCACUUCAUCUUUCUAGAGACCUCACUUUUCACAUCAAUACAAUGAAGGAGUUGAAUUCUAUGAUCUUUGGGGCACAGUUGACCCUUGAACACCAUGAGUUUGAACUGCGCGGGUCCACUUGUAUGCAAUUUUUUUUGGGGGCUCCUGGGUGGUUCAGUCAAUUAAGUGUCCGACUUCGGCUCAGGUCACAAGCUUGUAGUCCGUGAGUUCGAGCCUCACGUUGCCCUAUGCUUUACCUUUUAUUCCCAUGACCUAUUCAUCCCAUACCUGGAAGUCUGUACCUUCCAUUCCCUUUCACCCCUUUCACCCCUUUCACCCAUCCCCCUCCAUUCCCUUUCUUAUGAUUUUCUCGAGAUUUCACUUUCUCUAAGUUACUUUAUUAUAAGAAUGCAGUAUAUAAUAUAUGCAACACACAAACUAUA